Artibeus jamaicensis (Jamaican fruit-eating bat) is the source of this 2975-nucleotide long non-coding RNA. RefSeq lists it as uncharacterized. The transcript is spliced from 3 exons. The record is from RefSeq and is a predicted model, not a curated record. Lineage: Eukaryota; Metazoa; Chordata; Mammalia; Chiroptera; Phyllostomidae.
ACUUAACUUCUGGACAUCAUGGAAGAUUGGCAUUUUCCUUUUCCCUUAUCAAAAUUCUUCCUAACUGGAUGGCCUGCACUGCAAACUAGCUUCCCCAUCUCUGGCUGUUAUGGCUUCACAAACUUUGCUUAUAAGGAGUAAGUAGAUCCAUCCUAAACUGAAACAAAUAGAUCGCUGCUGCUUCUUCUGAAGAAAAAAAGGGAGAACAGCUAGAGAAAUACAGUGGAGCUAGGACUAAAAGGACUUGCUGAUGAAUUCCAUAUGGAAAUUAGAAGAAGGCUAGUUUAUAAAUAUGUUAAGUAUUCUAUGGAUUAUCUAUAAAUUCUAAUGGCAACAUAUUAACUGGGUACUUUUAAAUUCUUCCUUGAAUGUUCAUAAAUUAAAAAGUUAAUAUCUACUGGGAUAGCUGGGUUUAUUUUGGUCUUUUUGUAAAAUUAAAAAGUGAAAAAAGAACAACAGAAAAGGAUUUUUAACAGAAUAAUAAUCCCAGCCUAAUAAUUGCUCUUGAAGACCUUACACGUGUCCUUCAUCCUAAGGGAAAUUCCUGCUUUUCUGGCCUUUUCAGUUCACAAAGAAUAAAUGUCCAGAAGCAGAGAUAUUAUGUAGAAUUUUUUCAAGUUAGGAGAGUGAUGAAAGGAAUACAGGAACAUCGCUCUCUAGGCUUUCCUUAUUGCUCAUGCACAUUUCUGUGGAAUUUAAUGACCUCAAGAAAAGCAGAUGAUUUUCAUGUAACUUCAUUUAAAAUAAACUUAAUCUACACCAGUGUGUCCUUCAACUUAAUGCACACAUAAAUUACUUGGAGGUUUGUGGAAAUGAAGAUUCUGACUCAGGAAGUCUGGGUGGGCCCAAGAUUCUGCAUGUCUACCAAGCUCUCAUCUGGCCCACAGACCACACGGGAACAGGAAGGGUCUCGGCCUCUCUCCGCAUAGGCAUUUUCCCUGCUCUUAAUGGCUUUUAUGUUUUAGUGUUUCAGUAAACCCAACCAGUAAACUCAUUGGAGCAGCUGACUUAUUAAAACACACUUGGUAAGAAGAAGAAACAAAUAAGGAAUAUAUUUUUCCUCUGGAAAAAAUAUUUCUGGAUUUACAAUUCUCUUUCCAUCCUUGGUCUGAGAAAGCCUGGCAUAUUGAUUGUUUUCUGGGGUUCUUUACCCUAAUGACUCAGAUUCUAAUUACAUUCCAAAUUAUGACUAUUUCCCUAAAUAUUCCCAGCUGCUUUCAAGAUGAACUCUAUAACAUCACUAGAAAAAGACUCUCUGUGGCCUUUUUUGGAAAAAUCUAAAAUAUGAUCCCAAAUAGCUUUUUAAAAACAUGUGAUGUUCAGAAGACCACAGAAUUUUAGGGUAUCUUUUCAAGUCAGCAUUAAUCAUAUAUGGUUUUGUUCUGAAAGCAUUUCUUUCUAAAUGACAUACAUUAAAAAAAGCACAUAUCAAUUGAGACAAGAUAUUGGCACAGGAGAGGCUAUAACUCAGAAACCUUAUCUGAGAAUGACAGUUUAAUAUGUUUUUGUCUCAAUAAUAGUUACUGUAUAUUAUCAAACUAGUUACAAACCAAAAUGGAGGGCCCACUGGGUGUCCAACCUGUGGCCUGUGGACUGCAUUCAGCCCAGAAUGGCUAGGAAUGUGGUCCAACACACAAUUGUAAAUUUACUUUAAACACCAUGAGAUGUUUUUGUGAUUACAUGUUGCAAUGUAUUUAAUGUGUGGCCUAAGACAACUCUUCUUCUUCCAGUGUGGCCCAGAAAUGCCAAAAGGUUGGACAACAAGCUAAAGUACUAAGUUGCAAGUGCCAGAAUAUUUGCACAUAAAAUUGAAGUAAAAAUUAUUUAAUCAAAAAUGUAUUUUAUACAAAUUACUACUUUAUGAAUACUCAGAAUAUCAUGAACACAAAUAUGACUUUUGAAAACCUUAUUACCCCUCAAAGUAUGGUAAUUCUAAAGAUGUACUAUUACCUAAUUAUUGAAAUGUCAUUCUAGUUGGGUAUUUACAAAAAAUAUAUUGCAUCAAGUUAAGUAUUUACUCAGCUGAAAACAUGGCAGCAAGACAUCCUUCCUGCUAUUAUGCAAUUAUGCAUCUUUUUCUAAGAGCUCUUCAAUUUCUGACCCUUCUACAUUUUAAUGUGUUAUUUUAUAGCCUUGGCUGGUGUGGCUCAGUGGAUUGAGUGCCGGCUUGUGAACCAAAGGGUCAUGGGUUCCAUUCCCAGACAGGGCACAUGCCUGGAAUGCGGGCGGGUCCCCAGUAGAGAGUAUGUGUAAGGCAACCACACAGUGAUGUUUCUCUCCCUCUCAUUCUUUCUCCCUUCCCCUCUGUCUAAAAAUAAACAAAUGAAGUCUUGAAAAAUAAUAUUAUUUUAUAUGUACAAAUUAUAUGUAAUAUGAAUAAUGUAUGAAACAUUUCCAAUACCUAUGAAUUGGUGAACUCCAGAAAAGUUAGAAAAAUACCAUACCUUUGUCUACUUUACUUAUCUAUCUUCUCCUCAGAGGUAACCUCUAUGCAGAAUUUUGAAAUUAAUGAUUCUGUUAAAAAUAGUUUAACACAGGACCAUAUGAAUUGAAAUAAGAUAUUAUUUAUUCGCUUUUUGAGUUUUAUUAAAAUGGUUUCAUAAUGUAUAUGUCUAGCAUUUCCUACUUGAUAUUGUUUCUGAGAUCAUACAUAUUAAUGUCAGCAGGUUAUUUCUUUUUACUGUUAUGUAAUAUUGACUUGAGAAUAUAUAAAAAUUUGUUCUUUUGUAAGUGGGCCUUUAAUUUCCUAGAUUUUUAUUGUUGUUAUGAAAUAUGCUUCUCUCAACAUUCUAGUGAAUUUCUCCUGAUGCACAAAUAAAGAGAUUUUUUUAGGUUGUAGAUAUUUUGGAAUUGAAUUGCUGGGUCAUAGCAAAUGAUCAUCUUUUCAAAAUAAUACCAAGUUAUUUUCCACUGCACAAUUGUAUAGUCCCACAAACAAUGUGUAUGAAUUCUCAUUGGUCCAUAUCUUCUCUUGU